GAAGAGGCUUCUGGCUCUUGGUAAGGAGGAGGCUGGGUUAUACAAGUAUUCUUGGUUGCCUAUUUCCUCUUCUACCUCUUCUAAGUCCUCUUCUAAUUCUGAGCAUAGUGUUUUUCAAGUUUGUAAUGAUGAUGUUGUCUCUGACAGCAAACAUUUUAGCUCAUCCUCAAUUGUACACACUUCCAGUUGUAAUAAUGCUGCUACUUUUGAUAUGAAUUACAUAUGGCAUUUGAGAUUAGNNN
RNAcentral lists this long non-coding RNA (242 nucleotides) under Nicotiana benthamiana. RNAcentral describes it as "long non-coding RNA (NBEN_LNC027817)". The record is from RNAcentral. Lineage: Eukaryota; Viridiplantae; Streptophyta; Magnoliopsida; Solanales; Solanaceae.